GAAAUGCGAUAAGUAAUGUGAAUUGCAGAAUUCAGUGAAUCAUCGAAUCUUUGAACGCACCUUGCGCUCCUUGGUAUUCCUUGGAGCAUGCCUGUUUGAGUAUCAUGAAAUCUUCAAAGUAAAUCUUUUGUUAACUCAAUUGGUUUCUAAUUUGGUAUUGGAGGUCUUUGCAGCUUCACACCUGCUCCUCUUUGUUCAUUAGCUGGAUCUCAGUGUUAUGCUUGGUUCCACUCGGCGUGAUAAGUUAUCUAUCGCUGAGGACACUGUAAAAGGUGGCCAAGGUAAAUGCAGAUUAACCGCUUCUAAUAGUCCAUUGACUUGGACAAUACUUUUAUGAUCUGAUCUCAAAUCAGGUAGGACUACCCGCUGAACUUAAGC
This 378-nucleotide unclassified non-coding RNA is filed under the name plant metagenome. Its description in RNAcentral is "partial contains 5.8S ribosomal RNA, internal transcribed spacer 2, and large subunit ribosomal RNA". The stretch from base 1 to 105 matches the Rfam family "5.8S ribosomal RNA", at positions 50 to 154 of the family's 154-position model. The record is from RNAcentral.